CCCUUAGAUGUUCUGGGCUGCACGCGCGCUACACUGAAGCGUUCAACGAGUAUUCACCUUGCCCGGGAGGGUUGGGUAAUCUUUUGAAAACGCUUCGUGAUGGGGAUAGAUUAUUGCAAUUAUUAAUCUUCAACGAGGAAUUCCCAGUAAGCGCGAGUCAUCAGCUCGUGCUGAUUACGUCCCUGCCCUUUGUACACACCGCCCGUCGCUCCUACCGAUUGAGUGGUCCGGUGAGGCUUUGGGAUCUGAGCGGAAAGAGCGUUUCGCUGUUUCUGCCCGGAAAACUCAGUCGAACCUUAUCAUUUAGAGGAAGGAGAAGUCGUAACA
This 327-nucleotide ribosomal RNA is filed under the name uncultured eukaryote. RNAcentral's name for it is "partial 18S ribosomal RNA". It matches the Rfam family "Eukaryotic small subunit ribosomal RNA", at positions 1470 to 1796 of the family's 1831-position model. The record is from RNAcentral.